RNAcentral lists this transfer RNA (71 nucleotides) under Bacteroidia bacterium. RNAcentral's name for it is "tRNA-Gly". It matches the Rfam family "tRNA". From Rfam's summary of the family: Transfer RNA (tRNA) molecules are approximately 80 nucleotides in length. Their secondary structure includes four short double-helical elements and three loops (D, anti-codon, and T loops). The record is from RNAcentral. Lineage: Bacteria; Pseudomonadati; Bacteroidota; Bacteroidia.
GCGAGAUAUAGCUUAAUGGUAAAGCACCUGUCUUCCAAACAGGGGAUGCAGUUCGAUUCUGAUAUUUCGCU